GUCAGGUAUGGUGGCACUUGUCUGUGAUCCCAACUGCUUGGGAAACUAAGGCAGAAGGAUUGCUUCAGCCCAGGAGUUCAAGGCCAGCCUGGGCUACACAGUAAGACCCCCACCUUAA
RNAcentral lists this small RNA (118 nucleotides) under Marmota monax (woodchuck). The record is from RNAcentral. Lineage: Eukaryota; Metazoa; Chordata; Mammalia; Rodentia; Sciuridae.